GGGGCGGCGAGGGCGGUGGGGCAACAGCUAUAUAAAGGAGGUGCAUCUAGCAGAGCGGCAGUCAUUCUUGCAUUGGUCAGCACGAAGUUAACAUACAGAGGACAUCAAAAUGGUCUCCCUCAAGGCUGUAAUCACGGUGCUGAUGGUAGUGGUGGCGGCGGUGAUGACGGCGGUGUCUGCUUUCCCUGACGGCUACAAACAAGAGAAGCUGGGCCGCGUCAAGAUCCAGGUGUACCGCGGCCCCAGCAAGAGCAAGGGCUACCAUUCGUUUGCUCCCUGGGGCUACUACUUCACCCAGCCCGAGGACUACAAAAAGGGCUACCACUGACCACUGACGAUCAGCAUCAUCAUCAGCACGUCUUUCCUUAUCGUCUCGUAGCAGUCCACCGCCCUCCCCUCCCCGUGGCUGGGGCCUGGCGCCUCUGCACCCACACCCAGACUUUCCUUACCCGCUGAUCGGCUCACAGCUCCUUCAGUACAAACAAAUCUAAUAGUACAGUUUGUUCCACUCAUCAUAUACCUAUUUAUUCAUAGGAGAAAAUUUACUUUAGUUUGUAAGUUUUGUAAUAAAGUUGUUUUUAUCU
This is a long non-coding RNA of Scylla paramamosain (green mud crab), 584 nucleotides long. RefSeq lists it as uncharacterized. NCBI's taxonomy places the organism in Eukaryota, Metazoa, Arthropoda, Malacostraca, Decapoda, Portunidae. The record is from RefSeq and is a predicted model, not a curated record. The transcript is spliced from 3 exons.